AGCACAAAAUAGACGCAAUAUUUUCAACACAAGAAUCAGUUCUUCCAUUUCUCUUGCUCCAACUCCAACUCCAACAACAACGAAUUCCAGGAUAAUAAACAGGAAUUGCACUGGAACAAAGAUUCAAUUGAUCAAGAUGUCACCUACAACUUCACGAGUAAUGUCACAGUCGUGGAAGGGAAGGAGUGUUAUUGAGAAUCUUGAUUGAUAGCCACGCUGAAAAGAUCAUAAUGGCAUACAUGGGAUGUGUGAAUUAUCAUUGCUUAGAGAAUAUGUCCUGUACCAUUAAAAUUUUACUGUUUAUCUCAUGUAUGUUUGUACAGCUAAUGAAUUGCAUCUGUGGAGUAUUUCUUGUUUAUGAAGUUGGUAGACUUCUAUGGAAUGUUCAAACUUGUCUGAUUUAACCAUGAAUUUGAUGUUGUUUUAUACUUAAAUUGUUGCUGAAAUGUAGCAACAAUUACACUACAUUAUUUCAAUGACACUCAAAAAAAUCUUGGAGGGAGAAAAUAAUGACGUUCACUAUAUUUUUUGUGUGU
Long non-coding RNA from Solanum stenotomum, 536 nucleotides. RefSeq lists it as uncharacterized. The record is from RefSeq and is a predicted model, not a curated record. NCBI's taxonomy places the organism in Eukaryota, Viridiplantae, Streptophyta, Magnoliopsida, Solanales, Solanaceae. The transcript has 3 exons.